This 797-nucleotide unclassified non-coding RNA is filed under the name Hevea brasiliensis (rubber tree). The record is from RNAcentral. Lineage: Eukaryota; Viridiplantae; Streptophyta; Magnoliopsida; Malpighiales; Euphorbiaceae.
UUGCAGUAUGGUGGCUCUGCCGCACACAACAAGGUAAUCCUUUCUGAAUAAGGUUGAAUUUACAAUUUGUGCUUUUGUAGAUAUUACAAAAUGCAACUGGCAACAGAGAUAUUUGCUUCUAAUAUGUUUGCCAGUAGGGAUGUGUAUUGCCUUUGAACUUUUGUUUGAUGAAUUUAAUGAAUUUGUUUCAUCUAAGGUUAUAAACUCAUGGGUGUAGCUGUUGUUCGUUAGUGAAUAGUAAAGAAGUGUAGAAUUUUAGAAUCAGUAAAAGAAUUAUGUACUGUAAUUUUCAAUAAAUAUAUUUUAAAGUGAUGCAAAAGCUCAAUCUAGUCCUAAAGAUAUAAUAUUAACUAGCUAAUGUGGUAGUGCCAUUCAAGCGUUCAGCAUGUGCAUGCUGUGUAAAACAUUCAAAUGAGUAUAAUCUAUUCAACCAUGCCAACUGGUGGUUUCAUUGUGUCUGAGAUUUGAUUUAACAAAAGUAACUUCAUAUCCAGUCAUCUAUUUGGUUGUGAUGAGCAAAGAACAAAAGAAUUUAAUUUUCAAUGUCCACACCCGUCCAUCAGCGAUGAACUAAGCGAGCUGAGUUAGGACAGAUUAUUUAGUGCAGGAAACAAUUUAUUUAUUAUCAUUAAUAUUAUUAGUUAAUCAUUUUAAAAGUAAAACAAUUGUAUGCUUUUCCUACCUUUUUUCUUCUCAAAAUAAUUGAUUUGUCCACCCCUUGGGAUAUUUGUCGAUUUGCGCUUAAAGAAAUAGCUCUUUCUCUAGAAUGAAAUCCAGUUGAGAUGAAGGAGCGGAAA